CCUGACCGAACUCGACAAGCUGCAAGGCCAGGGCGUGAAGAUCUCGCCCGACAAUCUGCGCGUCGCCGAAAACGUCACGCUGAUUCUGCCGCUGCAUCGUGAACUCGAUGCCGUGCGCGAGAACGCCAGCAAGGCCAACGCCAUCGGCACCACCCAGCGCGGUAUCGGCCCGGCGUAUGAAGACAAGGUCGGCCGCCGCGCGA
Molecule: unclassified non-coding RNA, 203 nt
Filed under: Hevea brasiliensis (rubber tree)
Lineage: Eukaryota; Viridiplantae; Streptophyta; Magnoliopsida; Malpighiales; Euphorbiaceae
Source: RNAcentral